GGCUCAGGAUGAACGCUAGCGGCAGGCUUAAUACAUGCAAGUCGUGGGGCAGCGACAGUGUAGCAAUACAUGGGCGGCGACCGGCAAACGGGUGCGGAACACGUACACAACCUUCCUACAAGUGGGGAAUAGCCAGAGUAAUUUGGAUUAAUACCCGUAACAUAUAAAGAUGGCAUCAUUUUUAUAUUAUAGCUACGGCGCUUGUUGAUGGGUGUGCGGCUGAUUAGGUAGUUGGCGGGGUAAUGGCCCACCAAGCCUGCGAUCAGUAGCUGAUGUGAGAGCAUGAUCAGCCACACGGGCACUGAGACACGGGCCCGACUCCUACGGGAGGCAGCAGUAAGGAAUAUUGGACAAUGGGCGCAAGCCUGAUCCAGCCAUGCCGCGUGAAGGAUUAAGGUCCUCUGGAUUGUAAACUUCUUUUAUAAGGGACGAAAAAAGGGAAUUCUUUCUCACUUGACGGUACCUUAUGAAUAAGCACCGGCUAACUCCGUG
This 492-nucleotide ribosomal RNA is filed under the name uncultured bacterium. RNAcentral's name for it is "bacterial SSU rRNA". It matches the Rfam family "Bacterial small subunit ribosomal RNA", at positions 21 to 507 of the family's 1533-position model. The record is from RNAcentral.